Long non-coding RNA from Abrus precatorius (Indian licorice), 4597 nucleotides. RefSeq lists it as uncharacterized. The record is from RefSeq and is a predicted model, not a curated record. The transcript has 2 exons. NCBI's taxonomy places the organism in Eukaryota, Viridiplantae, Streptophyta, Magnoliopsida, Fabales, Fabaceae.
GCCUUCUCUCGUCCUCGCCGAUGUAGAGAGAGAAAUCAACAAGAGAGAGAGAGAGAGAGAGGAGAGUGUGGUUUUUGGUGGUUUGAGGAAGAUAAUGCGAUUACCGUGAGGAUUUCGAUUCUCUCACUGCGCGGUCUCUAAUUCGCUUGGUGCAGGUCGGGAACCGCUGCUGCUGUGGUUUUCGUGCGAAAUGGUGGAGCGGUUGCCGGCGGCGAAUUGGAUCCCGCCUUGCAUCAACUGAAUCGGAGGCCGCGGUGACGCUUUGCGUGGUUUUCCGGCGCCUCUCUAGCAGAUCUCUGUUACGAGUUUCUACAAUCAGAAGGGAGAGCUUUGGCAGCAACAGUAAGAGUUGCUGCCAUCUGACUUGAAAGUCACAGGUUUGAGUUGGCGAAUCAGCCUCUUGCAAAUGCAAAAUAAGGCUGUCUUCAAUAGAUCCAUAAUGGGACCUUUUCAUGGCAGAAGCUUUGUAGCUCCAGGUUGCACUAUUAUAAUAAACAGGCUGCAAACUUUAUAAAUGCAUUUGCUUUGUGUCUAGUAAGUUAGCUGAAGUUAUGGAUGGUAAAUUAAUGUACCUUGUGCUAUAUGAUGGUUCACUGAAUGAAGCAUAGUUAUCUAUCCCAAAUAGCAGAGUUGGAGUGCAGACCCCUGCAACACUAUAGGAGGAAAACGGGAUGACUGCUAUUGUGAACUUUUUGAAAUACACAUUAAAUUUAUGCUACAUGAAUAUAAGUGCGGGAAAAUAUAAAAAUUUCAGAAAUUGAAGACAUUUAUAAUUGAUGAUUCAAAUUCAGAGCUUGAAGCUAAAUGCUUGUCUCAAUGACAAUAAAGUUGUCAGGGAUAGAGAGAAGGAGCACCCGGAGACUAGAGAGAGAGUAGGACAGGUUGCAGAGGUCUUUUGUUGGCUGAAUAAUACAUUAAAAAUGCUGGAACAGAGGGAGUUUGACUGGAGAGAAUGAUACGAAGGUUAGAAAGAACUGAACAGAGCAGUGGCAAAGGUGGUUAGCAAAAAUAAAUUGCCACGGAAGGUGGUGUUUGUGAGAAUGCCCGAUUAGGUCACAUGAUUGAUUUAGUGAUAGGAUUUGUGUUUGAAUCCUUCGAUUUAAUGAAAAGGGAUGAAAAAUCACAAGAUUGCCCCCCUAAGCAGCCCUAAAUGAUGCUGUUCAAUACGGUAUAAAAUAAUUGGAUUUAUGUUUUUAUAUGGUUGAUAUCUUAAGGAUACUUUGUAUGUUAGUUAUGUAUAUGAUGACUAAGAUUCUUGGACAUGUAUGAAUUUCCAAAGAUUGACUUGUUUCUUUUUAGGUAUAAGUUUUUUUCCAAUGUCACACUAUGCAAAUAUGUACGUGGUCUACAGCUGGCCUGAUCUUUAGAUGUGGUUGUAGAAACAGUAAGUUACAAAGUAUUAUUUUUUGUAGUAAUUAUAGAAUUUUCUUCCCCCAAUCUUCUUGGUGCAUACAUAUAAAUGGGAUUUGUUUAUACCUACAUGGAAAUGUGAUUCCUUCCCCAUGAACACUUAUCUCUCAAAGUAAGUCAUUAUAUUUCUAGGAUUUCUUCAAUAAAAAGAGAUAAGAAUAUAUGUACAUAUUCGAAAUGUGCAUUCUUUUAAACAGAGAUGCGAUUAUGCAAAUCUGGUGCAGCUUAACGUUUUAAUAUUUUCUUUUCUGCUAAUGGUAAUAGAUGCAAAACAACUUAUUUGGGUACAAUGAGCUGCCCCUCUGCUCAUUUAAAUAUGCGAAAGAACAAAGUGCCUAAGAUGCCACACAUAGGUGUGUAUAAUUGAAGGAAAAAUUGGCCCUCGUGUUGUUUGGACUUUGGCGGGAAGGUUAUUUAUUCAAUAGGGAGAAACCCUGAUUUGCAUGAUUAGAUGAGGCUUGAUAUCUUCUGUUUUUUAUUCGUUUAGGAAUUGGCUAAUUUCAGAUAUUGAUUUGCUCAACUGGUCAAAGAUUGUAUGUGGAGAACACUUGGUUGUAAAAGAAAAUGUGAAUACCAGGAUCAGUGUUGACAGAAUAAUGCUUUUUUAUACUCCAUGUUAAAGUUUGGGUUAGGGUUGAUAUUUGAGAAGGUACUUAUAUACAAACAAAAUUGGAUUGAGAUAUGGCGAUUAAUAAUUUUAUAUACAGAGCGAGAGCAUGGUAUCACUAAUCAAAUGACUUCUUGAUUUUAAUGAUGGACAGAACGAAGUGAAAUAAUAGAGAGAAACAGAAUAAUAUAAAGGAUCCAGUUUGAUACUCUAGUUUUUUUUUUUUUUCUUUUUCAAUCGAGAUAUUCAGCUUAAAAACGUUAAAAUUAAUUUAUUUAACAAAUUAAAUUAAAAUUUUUAUUAAAAUAGAUUUAACAAAGCAUACAUAUGAGAGCGAUUAAAUUAUUUUUAUAAAUUGUUCAUAAUUUUUUUUAAACGAGUCCAAAGUGAAAAAAAAAUAUAUAAAGAAAUGCAGAAUGAAUUGACACUGAAUGAAAAUAUCUUUUCCUUGCCAAACAUUUUAUGAUGGAUCGAAAUAUAGUUCUUAUUUAAUUAUUUAGUAAGUGAAUAAAGCAAAAUGAGGUAUGAUUUUAUCAUUCUUAUUUUACCCUUCUUCAACCAUCUAGAAAAGGAAAAAAAAAAUUGUAUAUUUCAUUGGGAUAACAUUUUUUUCUCAUGCAAUUUUGCAGUAUUUUUUUUUUCAAAGUGUUAGCAGUAUAAUAUGAUGCUCACAUACUAGUUUUAAUCAUAUUCUACUAGCUGUUUAUCUUAUAUUUUGUUUAGGGUUUAGGGUUUAGGGUUUAGAAAGUGUUGAUAGUUUUUUUCUGAGUUAUGAUAUAAGAGGCUCCCGGCCAGUAAUAGUAUCAGAGCUUUCAAAUUAUUUGAUGUUCAUAUCUUCAGGGUUUAUCGGCUGGACAGCUGACAGGCACCUACCGGAGAGACUGUAUUCACAGUCGCCCCUGUCUGUAACAAUGCCACGAACUCCUGUAUUUAUUCAGAGCCUAAAGUCUCUGUUAAAGGAGGGGAUAAGUGUGUUAUUAUAAAUAAAGUGAGUAAGAGUUACCACAAUAUCAUGAAUACACCCACAGAUACCUCUUCUACUGAAAUCUCUCCUAUUCUCCUAAACUCUCCUAUCACAUUGCCAAAAGACUGUAUCAGAACUGCUUUUGAUAAGAUAGAAAACUUGAUAGAAUACACCUAUGUUCCUGAAGAUGCUCAAAUUCAGGAAUCUAUAGCCCCUCUGCUAAGCCCCUACAAUGUUUUCAGAAGAAAAAAAUCCUGGACCAACAAAGUAAACUUGUUGAUCCUCAGAAAACAAUCUCCUAUUAAAGAAUAUGUCCAAUUCACCAGAAUGGACCAAUGUAAGAUACCUGCUACAAAGGAAUAGAGAUACAUCAACCUUGAAAUCCCUAAAACCUUUAUAGACCAUUGAAAGACUGAGGGAUACACUUCUCUACACUUUGGAGCAAUAAGAUUAGUCCUAUCCCUACAUGGUAGGAAAAAUCUUCCAGUCACUGCCAGAAUCACUUUUCUUGAUUCCACUUACAUCCAUUAUGAACAUGCUGUUAUAGCAACACUACUAACCACUCUUCAUGCUGGAAGUGUGGUCCUCACCAUCUUUCCAAAUUAGAAUGUCUCUUUGAGAAACAAAACUCUUCCAACCAGAUUGAAAGUCCAGAUCCAGCUCACUAGAGCUGAACAAAUUGAAGAAGCCAUCACAACAACUCUUCACCAUCAAAUGAUCUACAGGUUACAAAAUCAUGCUCAUGACCUUCCUUUUCUAGGAACGGAAAAUGAUAAUUUGUUUGUCAUAGCAAACAGAAAUGAAGAUGAUGUCCCAUCUAUCAUUCAAGUUCCUAGGCAAAUACCUAGAGAAGAACUUCUCAAGUUAAUUCCGUUGGAAUGGACAACCAACUAUGAGAAGAUCAGGCAAAAUAAUAAACCAAUCCAGUCUUUUGAAGCUACUUUCAGAAGAUCUGUUGAUGGUGGUGUCAGAGCUAUAUUCAAAAAGCCUGAAGAAGAACCAAGCCCAUCUUCCAAUUGUUUCCAGUAACUGAUGGUUAUUCCUGUUGGAAAAGAACAUAGAAUUUCGGUAUACAGCUUCAAACUUGAUGGAUCUUCCAUCUAUUCUGACAAAUUUUAUGGACACUUCAUGUGGGAUGUUGAUCCUUCUAUGUGUGACCCUGACUGUGAUUGCUGGAUGCAUACUGGUGAUACAUCUGAUGAAGAAUCAGAUGAUGAUGAUGAAGAUAAUCUGAGAAAGAAAAAGAAACCGUGCAAACCACCUCCUAGGCCUAGGAGAAGAGACCCUGGAUUUACUCCAUGGGUGAGAAUCAGGAAUGAAAGAAAACCUUUGUCCAUCUAUGAUGAGGCUUUGGAAAUUUUAAGAAGAGAAGGCCUGCUGACCAAACCUCCUUGUGAUCCAGAUUUGAUCACAUAGCCUCUUCCUCCAGGACUGUGCAACUCUUUCAGUGCACCUCUGGAAAAGGUUGCAGCUCCUAUUCCCUGCAUGAUGUUUACAAAGUAUGAUGAAAAUUUCCCUUCAUUAGAAAGAAAAGUAGACCCAAUCACUAAGGUCAAUACUAGGCCUUUAAUGAUACCUUCUGAAAUACAACCAGAUGGAACACUUAAGGCUUCAUC